Sardina pilchardus (European sardine) is the source of this 706-nucleotide long non-coding RNA. RefSeq lists it as uncharacterized. The transcript is spliced from 3 exons. NCBI's taxonomy places the organism in Eukaryota, Metazoa, Chordata, Actinopteri, Clupeiformes, Clupeidae. The record is from RefSeq and is a predicted model, not a curated record.
CCGAUGAUGUUGAGUCUAAUAACUCCGCCAUACUUCAACUGAUUUUAUUAAUGAAAACUUCCUCAUAAACGUCACAUCAUAGGCUUUACAGUGAUAUGAUUGGUUAAGGGAUUUGUGGCGCGAAACUGUUUCACUGCUUGAAGAGAAAACAAGAAGUUGAAACGUCAUUCUGCCUGCUGAAUCUAAAGGAGCAACGCUAGCUGUCACCAUACAUCAGACAUCAUAACGUCGUUUGAAGGACAAACUGGUGGAUCAAUUGAGAUGGAGGGGGAGAAGAGCCAGUAUGCACGGUUGAUGGAGUCUCUCAAGGAAAGGAGACAACUGACUGCUGAGGAGCUCCAGGUCAUCGGUGAGCAUCAACUACAGGAUCAUGAAGGGAUGGACACUGCAGAGGAGGAGAACCUGGAUAGCCAGCUACUGAGUGAAGAGGAUGUGGAAGAAGAGGAGGAGAGUGAUCUCCCAUCAUCCUCAGCUGGAUGGAGGGGGAGAAGAGCCAGUAUGCACGGUUGAUGGAGUCUCUCAGGGAAAAGAGACAACUGACCGUUGAGGAGCUCCAGGUCAUCGGUGAGCAUCAACUACAGGAUCAUGCAGGGGUGGACAUGGAGGAGUACCUGGAUAGCCAGCUACUGGGUGAAGAGGAUGUGGAAGAAGAGGAGUAGGAGGGGAGUGAUCUCCCAUCAUCCUCAGCUGAGUAACAAUGUUUGUG